RNAcentral lists this ribosomal RNA (252 nucleotides) under uncultured bacterium. Its description in RNAcentral is "partial 16S ribosomal RNA". It matches the Rfam family "Bacterial small subunit ribosomal RNA", at positions 57 to 305 of the family's 1533-position model. The record is from RNAcentral.
GCAAGUCGAACGGAAACGACAAGAGCUUGCUCUUGGGCGUCGAGUGGCGGACGGGUGAGUAACGCGUGGGAAUCUACCCAGUAGUGGAGGAUAGCCAGGAGAAAUCCUGAUUAAUACUGCAUACGAUCUACGGAUGAAAGGUGGCCUCUACUUGUAAGCUAUCGCUAUUGGAUGGGCCCGCGUUGGAUUAGCUAGUUGGUGGGGUAAAAGCCUACCAAGGCGACGAUCCAUAGCUGGUUUGAGAGGAUGAUC